Molecule: long non-coding RNA, 1455 nt
Organism: Sarcophilus harrisii (Tasmanian devil)
Lineage: Eukaryota; Metazoa; Chordata; Mammalia; Dasyuromorphia; Dasyuridae
Exons: 4
Source: RefSeq, a predicted model, not a curated record
UUCCCAGAAUUUAUUUUUAAAUGGUAUAGGACAUCAUGAAGUGAGGUGAUAAGAGUCCAAAUGUGGUAGCUUCCUUUUUCAUUGUUUAUAUAAAUAAAUUUAAAUCCUUAUAUUGCUUCAGGGUCAAGAUUGACUGUUGCUUCCUGCUUGAAAUCUUUGUUGAUUACCCAACUCUCCUCUUCUCAUUACCUUAUACUUACUCAUCUGUGUAUAUUUUAUAUCUUCUCAGAGGAUUACAAGCUCCAUAAGAUUGUAGACUAUUCUGUAUAUUGUUGUACACUUUAUCCAGUGUAGCAUUAUCAUAGUGGGUACAUACUUGUUAAAUAUUUCAUGACAGUUUUUUUGUCUUCCUUCAAGUUUUACAUAUAAAUGCCCACAGAAUCUUCCUUCACUUGGGCUUAUGAAGAGAUGACCGCAGUUUACUGAAUAUUUGAGUGGCAAGAAUGUAACUAAGAAAUGUCUUUAUAGACAUGGAAAUCAAGGAAUGCUUCAUGUUUGAAUCGACCAAUCAGAACUAGAAAUAAAUCCAUUCUCCUUUUGCAUAAGGAACUUAAUAUGAAAGCAGAAACACAUUCAGAAACAGAAAGUGAUUUUGAAUACCUGGCAAAGAAGAGGAAGUAAGGAACAAAUCAAGAGCUGAGAGAAAAAUAAUUGCCAAUUAGGGACAACUAGAAAAAGGGAAAAGGGAAAGUAAAAGUAGGUGAUCAAGGAUAGAAUGCAUUAUGUGUGAACAAGUAGCUGGACAAUUUGACUGCCAGGAAGACUGUGAAAAUGUAUGACUUGGAAGAAGAAUGAAAGGUAAAUGGAAACCAGAUUCUGUAGCUCCUAAAAUUACAGACUGAAGAUUUUCUGCUUUAUUCUACAGAUAACAGGGAAUCUGAAAAUUUUUGAGUAGUAGAAUGAUAUAAUCAAAUCCACUUGAAGCUAGGUGAAAACGAAUUGGAAAACACAGAGACUGGAAGCAGAGACAUCAAUGGGGGAAAAAAAUUAUUAUUGCAAAAAUCCUUUCCUAUUGAAGAAUAUAAUUGUAGACUUGAAAAUUUCAUUAGUCGUUAAAUUUUUGUAUGAUUGUGUAGAGGGGAUAAUUGUAUCUUCAACCAAUUAUAAGUUCUUUUCCAAUACACCUGGAAAAUUUUAAAAUUUAUUUACUAAUGCCAUAUAUUAGGUGCCUAUACAGCACUAUAUUAUACAGUAAAUGUACAAAAUUCCUUCAUAUAACCAUGUAUAAAAUGAUUUUUAAAAAAUAUGGUAUUUAAUGUAAAACUUAAUUUAUCAAUUGUUAAUCUAAUAGAAAUAUAUCAUUGCAUUUGUAAGAAUUGAAAAUGUAAAACAAUUAUCUUCUUCAAUACUCGCCUCAUCCUCCCACUUCUAAUACAGGAAAGAAGACCCUAUUUUCCUCUCCCUCUCCCACCUUUCCUUCUUUCUUUUCUUCUUUUUUCUCUUCCUCCCCUUCCU